CGCUCAGGUGGUCCAGUGGUUAGAGCGUCCGCCUCAGAUGCGGGAGGUCGUGGGUUUGAUCCCCAGUCGAGUCA
Non-coding RNA from Potamilus streckersoni, 74 nucleotides. NCBI's taxonomy places the organism in Eukaryota, Metazoa, Mollusca, Bivalvia, Unionida, Unionidae. The record is from the annotation of a GenBank genome assembly.